Molecule: ribosomal RNA, 440 nt
Filed under: uncultured bacterium
Lineage: Bacteria
Description: partial 16S ribosomal RNA
Rfam family: Bacterial small subunit ribosomal RNA
Source: RNAcentral
CCUACGGGAGGCAGCAGUGGGGAAUAUUGCACAAUGGGGGAAACCCUGAUGCAGCGACGCCGCGUGAGUGAAGAAGUAUUUCGGUAUGUAAAGCUCUAUCAGCAGGGAAGAAAAUGACGGUACCUGACUAAGAAGCCCCGGCUAACUACGUGCCAGCAGCCGCGGUAAUACGUAGGGGGCAAGCGUUAUCCGGAAUUACUGGGUGUAAAGGGAGCGUAGACGGUGAUGCAAGUCAUAAGUGAAAGCCCGGGGCUCAACUCCGGGACUGCUUUUGAAACUGUGUGACUGGAUUGCAGGAGAGGUAAGCGGAAUUCCUGGUGUAGCGGUGAAAUGCGUAGAUAUCAGGAGGAACACCAGUGGCGAAGGCGGCUUACUGGACUGUAACUGACGUUGAGGCUCGAAAGCGUGGGGAGCAAACAGGAUUAGAUACCCUUGUAGUC